UGAGGAAUAUUGGUCAAUGGGCGGGAGCCUGAACCAGCCAAGCCGCGUGAGGGAGGAAGGCCCUAUGGGUCGUAAACCUCUUUUGUCAGGGAACAAAAGCGAGUAUGUAUACUAGUCUGAGUGUACCUGAAGAAAAAGCAUCGGCUAACUCCGUGCCAGCAGCCGCGGUAAUACGGAGGAUGCGAGCGUUAUCCGGAUUUAUUGGGUUUAAAGGGUGCGUAGGCGGCGGUGCAAGUCAGCGGUAAAAGCCCGGGGGCUCAACCCCGGCGAGCCGUUGAAACUGCAGUGCUAGAGAAGGCGAGAGGUACGCGGAAUGCGCAGUGUAGCGGUGAAAUGCUUAGAUAUUGCGCAGAACUCCGAUUGCGAAGGCAGCGUACUGGCGCCUGACUGACGCUGAGGCACGAAAGCGUGGGGAUCGGAACAGGAUUAGAUACC
Molecule: ribosomal RNA, 435 nt
Filed under: uncultured bacterium
Lineage: Bacteria
Description: bacterial SSU rRNA
Rfam family: Bacterial small subunit ribosomal RNA
Source: RNAcentral